This 382-nucleotide ribosomal RNA is filed under the name Phyllodactylus darwini (Darwin's leaf-toed gecko). RNAcentral describes it as "partial 12S ribosomal RNA". It matches the Rfam family "Bacterial small subunit ribosomal RNA", at positions 967 to 1529 of the family's 1533-position model. Lineage: Eukaryota; Metazoa; Chordata; Lepidosauria; Squamata; Phyllodactylidae. The record is from RNAcentral.
AACCUUUCCCCCUCUAGCACCAAAUCAGCCUAUAUACCGCCGUCGCCAGCUCGCCUAAUGAUAGACAACAAAGCAAGCAAAAUAGUCCCACACACUAAUACGUCAGGUCAAGGUGUAGCUAAUGAGGGGGCUAAAAGAUGGGCUACAUUUUCUUACUACUAGAAAACUACCACAGGCUAUGUGAAACCUACGCCACCCGGCGGAUUUAGCAGUAAAUCCCGGCAAGACAUGCCUAAUUGAAACCUGCUCUGGGACGCGUACACACCGCCCGUCACCCUCUUCGACCAACCCGAACCCCUAUUAACAUAUAAACUUUCCCCACCCCUAGACGAGGUAAGUCGUAACAUGGUAAGCCUACCGGAAGGUGGGCUUGGCACACCAC